AGAGUUUGAUCCUGGCUCAGAGCGAACGCUGGCGGCAGGCCUAAUACAUGCAAGUCGAGCGGUCCCUUCGGGGGCAGCGGCGGACGGGUGAGUAACGCGUGGGAACGUGCCCUUUGGUACGGAACAACUGAGGGAAACUUCAGCUAAUACCGUAUGUGCCCUUCGGGGGAAAGAUUUAUCGCCAUUGGAGCGGCCCGCGUUAGAUUAGCUAGUUGGUAGGGUAAUGGCCUACCAAGGCGACGAUCUAUAGCUGGUCUGAGAGGAUGAUCAGCCACACUGGGACUGAGACACGGCCCAGACUCCUACGGGAGGCAGCAGUAGGGAAUCUUGCGCAAUGGGCGAAAGCCUGACGCAGCCAUGCCGCGUGAAUGAUGAAGGUCUUAGGAUUGUAAAAUUCUUUCACCGGGGACGAUAAUGACGGUACCCGGAGAAGAAGCCCCGGCUAACUUCGUGCCAGCCGCCGCGGUAAUAC
This 472-nucleotide ribosomal RNA is filed under the name uncultured bacterium. RNAcentral's name for it is "bacterial SSU rRNA". It matches the Rfam family "Bacterial small subunit ribosomal RNA", at positions 8 to 526 of the family's 1533-position model. The record is from RNAcentral.